UUCAGGAAUGACAUAUUUGUAAACAUACAAGACGUCUGAUCUUCACAUGAAUUUGCAUACUUUUACCUGGAAAAUAUGUAAAGUUUACACCAAAAGAAUACAAGAUACUAUGCCAGACUUUAAACUUGUAACGAAAGGUAACACAAUUGCUUAUUUUAUGGUCAUUAUAUUACAACGAAGAGUAAAAAAAAUAACAUCCGUAAAAACAAAAAAAAAACGUAAACAAAGCCUUUGAACCUGAACAACACCAAAGAAUUUAUGGUGCAAUCGAUUAAAGUGAUGUCAUUUAUAAACUUGAAAAAAAUGUCUAUUCUAGAAAAUAUGAUUUAUUUUUGGAAUUAUGACGUGUCUUCCUCAUAACUUGUCAAAUGAAAGUAGAAUUGAUUCUGUAUAUGAAAUUGUCACAGGGAC
Molecule: long non-coding RNA, 411 nt
Filed under: Mytilus galloprovincialis (Mediterranean mussel)
Lineage: Eukaryota; Metazoa; Mollusca; Bivalvia; Mytilida; Mytilidae
Source: RNAcentral